This 497-nucleotide ribosomal RNA is filed under the name uncultured bacterium. RNAcentral's name for it is "partial 16S ribosomal RNA". It matches the Rfam family "Bacterial small subunit ribosomal RNA", at positions 28 to 507 of the family's 1533-position model. The record is from RNAcentral.
GAUGAACGCUGGCGGCGUGCCUAAUACAUGCAAGUCGAGCGAACAGACGAGGAGCUUGCUCCUCUGACGUUAGCGGCGGACGGGUGAGUAACACGUGGAUAACCUACCUAUAAGACUGGGAUAACUUCGGGAAACCGGAGCUAAUACCGGAUAAUAUAUUGUACCGCAUGGUUCAAUAGUGAAAGACGGUUUUGCUGUCACUUAUAGAUGGAUCCGCGCCGCAUUAGCUAGUUGGUAAGGUAACGGCUUACCAAGGCAACGAUGCGUAGCCGACCUGAGAGGAUGAUCGGCCACACUGGAACUGAGACACGGUCCAGACUCCUACGGGAGGCAGCAGUAGGGAAUCUUCCGCAAUGGGCGAAAGCCUGACGGAGCAACGCCGCGUGAGUGAUGAAGGUCUUCGGAUCGUAAAACUCUGUUAUUAGGGAAGAACAAAUGUGUAAGUAACUAUGCACGUCUUGACGGUACCUAAUCAGAAAGCCACGGCUAACUACGUG